Molecule: ribosomal RNA, 478 nt
Filed under: uncultured bacterium
Lineage: Bacteria
Description: partial 16S ribosomal RNA
Rfam family: Bacterial small subunit ribosomal RNA
Source: RNAcentral
GACGAACGCUGGCGGCGUGCUUAACACAUGCAAGUCGAGCGAUGAAGUUCCUUCGGGAAUGGAUUAGCGGCGGACGGGUGAGUAACACGUGGGUAACCUGCCUCAUAGAGGGGAAUAGCCUUCCGAAAGGAAGAUUAAUACCGCAUAAGAUUGUAGUACCGCAUGGUAUAGCAAUUAAAGGAGUAAUUCGCUAUGAGAUGGACCCGCGUCGCAUUAGCUAGUUGGUGAGGUAACGGCUCACCAAGGCGACGAUGCGUAGCCGACCUGAGAGGGUGAUCGGCCACAUUGGGACUGAGACACGGCCCAGACUCCUACGGGAGGCAGCAGAGGGGAAUAUUGCACAAUGGGGGAAACCCUGAUGCAGCAACGCCGCGUGAGUGAUGACGGUCUUCGGAUUGUAAAGCUCUGUCUUCAGGGACGAUAAUGACGGUACCUGAGGAGGAAGCCACGGCUAACUACGUGCCAGCAGCAGCCGCCG